Molecule: long non-coding RNA, 5884 nt
Organism: Equus caballus (horse)
Lineage: Eukaryota; Metazoa; Chordata; Mammalia; Perissodactyla; Equidae
Source: Ensembl
CGCGGGGGGUGCGGAAGAAGAUUCCACGAACGCAAGCUUCGAGACAGAGAAUCUGCCCGCCUUUUUCCUCCCUGUUUUCCUAGCACUAAAUAAUACUAGCCAACGCUUCUUGAGCGCUUAAUAUGUGCCAAGCAUUAUUCUGAGGCAUUUUAAAAACAGCUUUGUUGAGAUAUAAUUCACCUACUGUACAAUUCACCUAUUUAAAACAUACAAUUCAAUGGCUUUUAGUACAUUCACAGAGUUGUGCAACCAUCGUCUUAAUCAGUUUUAGAACAUUUUUGUUACUUCAAAGGGAAACCUUGUACCUAUUAGCAGUCACUCCUGUUCUCCCCUCCCCCAGCUCCAGGCAACCACUAACCUUUCUAUCUCUGUCCAUUUCCUGUUCUGGACAUUUCAUAUCAAUGGAAUCAUACAAUAGGCCGUCCUUCAAGGCUGGCAUCUUUCACUUAGUAUAAUGUUCUCCGAGCUUAUCCUUAUGGUAGCUUGUGUCAGCACUUUAUUCCUUUCCAUGGCUGAAUAAUCUAUCGUACCACAUUUCAUUUAUCCAUUCCUCAGUCGUUGCGCAUUUGGGUUGUUUCUUCUUUUUGGCUGUUAUGAUGAAAAUCUGCGUACAAGUUUUGUGUGGGUACGUGUCCUUAUUCCUUGUUCUCAUAAAUUUAUAUGCCUCGUUGAAUCCUCAGACUCUGACGAGGUAGGUAACGUUAUUUUCCCUAAGGCUCAGAGAAGCUUAUUAACUUGCCCAAGGUCACACAAUGUGUAAGUGGUGGAGCUGAGAGAGGAACUCGGGCCGUCUUGCUCCAGAGCCCACGCCCAUAACCACACUGCUCUGUUACCUAGAAUGCCUGGCACAGUCGAAAGUAUGUAAGGAAUGAGCGGCUGAGUGAGACAGGGGCCCUGCUCUGGGAGACUUGUAAGGGGGUUGCCUUCUUGCAGACAGCUUCUCUCUGAUUAAUCUCCGCAAUACUCUCGGGGCUGGAAACAGGUAGAGAAGGCUGGCUGGAAUCAGCUGUUGAAAAGUUGGAUGUAGUGGAUGCCUAUUGCUUAAUGGGACACUUCCCGCCGGGGCUGAGGCUGCGGGUUCCUCAGGGAGAGAAGAGUCAGCACUGGGGCCUGAGAGAUUUGAGAAGUUACAGAAAGCUUCCUCUUCAGAGAGGCAAACAGGAAAUCUGCUUUUUUGGUUGUUUUUUUAAGUGAGUCAUGUUGAAGGUGUUUUGUGUGACAUCUCUGCCUGCGGUCCUGGACUGCCUUGUCCAUGUUACCUGUCUCGGGACCACCAGAGGCUGAUUCUGGGGUGGGUUCUGGAGGCAGCCUAGCUGAGUCAUCUAGAACAGCUACCAGCGGGCAAGUGCAGUGGCUCCUGGCCAGUGACAUCCUUGUCCUGGCUCUAGGGAGCAGGGAGCUGAUUCCCAGAGACAAAAGGCACGUCAGACCCCAGCAGACCUCGUCCCCACAGCCCUGCCGCUCUGUUGUGCCCUCUGCAAGGCCAGCGUCGAUGAGCUUGCUCACCAGCUCUUCCCGGCCCUCGUACCAGCACCUGCUCCAUAGGCACUGCGAUGUUUUGGGAGGUGGCACUGACUUUUACAAACCAGACUGUCACCUUUUUGUCCCUGACUCAGAAAGUUUCAGGUUCACAGAAUUAAGUGCAGACUUCUCCGCCUGGUACUCAGCUCUCUCAGGCCCAGCUCCUGGCUCCACUGUCAGCUCUAACCACUUGGCUUUCCUGCCCACCUCUCCCUCCACUCACCCCUUUGCCAGGCAUUCUGGGUGUCAGCCUCUCCACCCUCCCUGCACAAACCCAUUUUUCUUCUGCCUCUGGGUCUUUGCUCAAGCUGUUUUCCCAGCCUGGAACAGCCCCUGUGGACUGUCGCAGAUCAUUCCUGCCUCCUCCAGGAAACCUUCCCAGUCCCAUUGGCUACAGAGAAUCUCUCCCUUCCUUCCUAACCAUGUUACUCCCACCUCUCGUAGCACUUCCCCCUUGCCUGCAGCUGUGAGAGUUAUCUAUGUGUGUCUGCUUCCUGGGGGGCAGGGACAAAAUUGCAUUAGUAUCUGCUCUCUCCCCAGGCCUCAUAUAGCGUCAGAUGUAGGUGUUCAUAGGAGGUGUUCCGUAGAUGGGUUGUUGGACUGAACUGACCAUCUCUAGUAUCAUUUACUGUUUGAAGUCUUAAUCUCAGGCCAUAAAGAUCUAGCUCCUUCUUUAUAAUCACGGCACAGUAGUCUAUCAUAUGGGUGGACCAAAAUCCACUCAGCCAGAUUUGGCCAACUGAAAGUCAUUUAGGUUGUUUCCAGCUUUUGGGGGUUACAAACGCCUGUGCUGUCUUGCUGUACCUCAAAAAGAGGAAGAGAGAUUCAUUUGGAACCAUUUCUACAAUUUUGGUGGAAGAUGUGACUCAGGGCCACUUAUCCAAACACAGCAAGAUUGGAAUACAUAAGGUAAGGUGGAUGGGGCCAGGGUCAGAGGGCCACGCAAUCACAGAGGCUCUUGCAGGCCCUGUAGGACACAAGGUUGUCCCUGUGUGAGUGGCCCCUGUCCACCUCGCCCACCACUCCCCCUCCUGCCACUCCCCCCUCCCCCACAUGCUCCAGACAGGUGCACAUGCUCCCAGUCUUUGGUUAGGCCUUGUGACCUUCACCCGCGCUGUGUCUCUCUCUGGACCUCUCUUGCCUGCUCUCCACAUGGCUGACUCCCUCUUACCCUUUAGGGCUUGGCCUGGGGGUCAUCUGCUCAGAGAGGCCGGCCCUGACUCUGUGAGCGUGCCCUCCCCCGACUCUUCUGAAGGACACUCUGGUUAGUCUCUUCACACCACCAGUUGGUCCUUAUUCAUGCAUAUUUGUUUGUCGUCUACCUCCCCCACCUCUAGGGCCUCAGCGCCACGUCUGUCAGUGCAUCGCCCAGUGCCUAGCGCGGGGCCUCAUGCAAGGAGUUACCUGGCAAAUGUUCAUGGAAUAAGCGGAUACUGCUAUGGAUGAAUGGCCAGAUUAGGAAAAGGGGGAGGGAAAAGGGAACAAUUAGUGGAGACCUGCAGGGAUGGCAAAUGAGUUCCUCCACCAGACAGCAACGGAGGGGGGUCUGCUCCUGGAGGGGACAGGCUAGUCGGCAAGUGCCACUCAUAACCUCGGAGGUCCUGGUCCCUCUGGGAGAUGGAGCCAGCAAGAGGGCAGAUCCCACAGGGUCGGAGCUGGGAAGGAUUCCUGGCUGCUUCUGAACUGUGCCAAACGGGCCGAGAGAGCAGUGAGCACAGGAGAUGGACGCAGGGGUUUACAGGCACCCAGGCGUCCCGAGCAGCAGGAGAAGAGGGUACAGCAUGGGGGGCUGUGCCUUGGGGGAGGGUGCCAGGAAUUCUCAGCAUCAAGCAGGAGCCUAUAGCUAACGUUUGGUGCAAGUGUUAGAGGGGGUCCCCCACCGGACGAUUGGAGAAGCAUCGUAUGCGUCGACACCCCUAAUCUGCCUCUUCUGGAACAAAUUUAGGCUGUCAUGCGCCAGCUACUGAAAAAAUCAUUUGAGCCACCCAAGAUGGUGCUGCCUGCCAGGUGACAGGGCACCGUGAGCAGUUGCCGCUUUUGUUCAACAGGACACAUGUGACUGUUGCAAAGUUUCAUUGCGUUUUGCCCGUGUUGUUUUAAAAAAAGAGUGAAAAGGGGCUGGCCCCGUGGCCGAGUGGUUGAGUUCGCGCGCUCCGCUGCAGGCGGCCCAGUGUUUCGUUGGUUCGAAUCCUGGGCGCGGACAUGGCACUGCUCAUCAGACCACGCUGAGGCAGCGUCCCACAUGCCACAACUGGAAGAACCCACAACGAAGAGUACACAACUAUGUACCGGGGGUGCUUUGGGGAGAAAAAGGAAAAAAUAAAAUCUUUAAAAAAAAAAAAAAAAAAAGAGUGAAAAGUAGAAAAAAAAAAAGUGCUCACAUGAGAGAGAUGCACCUAUCACUUGCUUAAAGCAAGAUUUCCAUCUUUAAAAGAUGGAAAUCGUUAACCAAAGUGGCCAAUCUUUGGCUUAUUUACAUGCUCAUUGGAUUUAAGUGGAUCUACCAUAGACUCAACAGCAAAGAAAAAAACAGCAUGAAAGAAAAUGCUAUCAAUAUUUGACUGGAGUUUAAAAAUAUUUUUUAACCUCUCAGGAUCAGGGCCACUACUAGCCGAUAUGGUGUCCUGUGCAAAUCAGAAAAAGGGACUCCUUGUUUUCUCAAUAAAUACAACUCUGCACCAGAGUACACAGCCGGAUGUCAGUCCCCACUUACCCUCUUGGCUGGGUGCCCUCGUACAGUGAAUAACCUGCCCAACUGUACAGUGCUGUUUGGGAUGGAACAACCAUGUGUAAUGUGUCAGUCUUUUGCUCCACUUCUAUGCAGUUACUUUUAUACAUGUUUUCACAUUUAUAAAAGCAGAGGACUGCCUAUACACAGUAUUUCCUGUUCAUUUAUUCUUUAAGGUAGACAACUUGUUUCAUAUUCAAGAUAUCCCUAGGGGAGUGGAGAAUCCAGGACCACAAAACUAACUAUGAAAAUUGCCCAGAGGGUGGUGCUCUACCAGGGCUCAUGCUCCCCUCCCUCAGCAAUUCUGCUGCCCUUUGGACUGCAGGAGCUGCUCUUCACCUUGUUUCCUAGUCUUUGUAUCAUUUCUUCCUCCUCCUAUGGAUUCUCAACUCUCUGAGGAUGAGAGCGAUUUGUCUUGUCCUUUACUUCCAGCAAACAGCACAGAGACCUGUGAGAGUUUACUGGUUGUGCUUUGAUAGAAAAUAAAAAGAAUUGCUGGAAUAAUUAUUGUCAUGAUGCAGAAGAAUUGAAAUAUUUUCUCCAGGCACUUGCCCCUCUGGGCUCUUGUCGCCAUUUGGGGCUAAGCGACACUCGGCAGUUUGAUUUGCUUCCUUUUCUUAUUCCUUCCAGCGGCUGAUGGGAAAACCUUUGCUGACACCAAGAGGGCUUGUGGGUGACGGAAGAUUGUUAAGCAUCAGAUCUUAUUUAGGCUUGAGUCACGCCUUCUCUAAAGGAUUGCAUUCAGGAGCCGGGAGUUUCUAGCGCUUUCCUUGAAGAGGGGCACUGUAUGUUUUCUUUAGUUAGUUCCUUUCUGGCUGUACCAGGAGCAAGGACUGGGCUUUGGGAUGAGUCAAAUGAGAGCAAAGGUCAGGUGUGGGGAAAAAUUAGAACCCACAGUGAUGGUAAAUGUGAUGGCAUUUGGGCAGUGCCCCAGACGGUGGGAUGUGUUGGACAUGUCCUCUUAAGUAAGGAAUAACUCUGGGAUAGACUUGGAAAAGCCAAAGGACCCAUCUCAGUUUGCCACAUAGUGGAGCCGCGUCAGCCUGGAUGCCGCCCCAAAGAGGAGUGAGUUGUGUGUAUUUCCCUCACGUUGGCAAAGCAAUGACUAUUUCUGCAUACUCUCCUGAUUUCUUAAACCCUGGCUGCUCCUUCUACGCUAUGUUUUAUGCCACGGGCCCUGAGGUAAUGUGUUUCCACUUCUCCCCCAGUAGAACACCACUCAUUUUAGUUUAAUGCCCUUGUUCUUGACAUUGUCCAUCUCUUCCUCCCGUCUGAGAGUCAGGAAUAAAACUUACCUCAUUCAGGAAAUGGGGCGCUGGCUCUCGGGGUGAGGGAAAGGAACUCGCAAUGCAUAGAUACACUUCACAUGGUUGUUUCUGAUGAGGAUGGAAAAGUUAAUCUCUCAUUGAACUCCACCGGGACGGCUGGGUUCUGUGCUGCCUCUCUCAGCAGCUUUCUGGAUCUCUGUGGGCUUGGAGCAGCCCCUCGUGGGACUCACCCUCCUCUUCUGUAAGACAGGCAGGAGCUCCAAGUCUCCUACAGACUUGCUAUUCCAAGGGCGGUCCUGGGACCAGCUGCAUCUGUAACACCAUGGAAAUUGUAAGAAACACACAAAAAUCUCAGGCACCGCCCCAG